CGGACGAGUACAGGAGAGACGAGUUGGACACUACGAGAAAGAGACAGCAAGAGCAAGGACAAGGCAGCGGGUCGGUAGGGGGAAGGAGAGAGAAAGAGUAGACACGCAUCAAGGGCGCCACCACCAGCAGCCACUGGUGCGAGGGGAAGUCGGCACCGGUCCUCUGGCCCACGUCGGGGUGGGAGGGAGCCGAGGACGCUGGCUUCGCGGCCGGGCUCGCGAGCGGGAGAAGGUGAGGCUGUCGGUUUAGUGGGCCUAGGGCGCAGGAGAAGGUGAGGCCGCUGGCCUAGGGGAGCUCAAACGCCUUGUGGCCUAGACAGGUCCCGCUCCAGGAACAGGUGCCUAGGCCGGCCCUCUUUAGUAAAAGAAGUAACAAAGGCAGCCGCUCCGACCUAGUGUGGAGUAUAAACAGAAUCCAAGUCAAGUUGAUUCUUACGUUCUACUGUUUUACGCUGUUUACCAACUUUUUUACACGUCAAGACGGGGGUCUCUUUUUCUACGGUAGGUUGUUAUACGUAUCAACCCAAGGAACCUUUGUAGUGGGAACUUGAAAUACUGUCGAACCUUGUCUACGAAGGUGUGUAUUGGAGGGAUCAAGCUAAGAAAGUAAAACGGAUACAACAAAAUCACGAAGGUUCUUAUACACAUGACAUCAGUACGGACCGUCACCCUCGUUCGUGCACCGGGUAGUGUUUUUAACGUUUUUACGUUAUAGAAAUUCGUUUAUACGUAGACCACGGAAGUCUAACACACAAAGAAAUAGUGACUCUGUUUAUUCGUAGAACUAGCUAGAACUAUAUUGAUCAAAGGAGUAGUCCACUCCUUAAGAAGUCGAAAAUGAAGAACUAAAUCAACCAACUACUACAAAAGUACCGAUUACCACGAAAAAAGACAACAAUUUUUUACGUUUACUAAUCCAAG
RNAcentral lists this ribosomal RNA (921 nucleotides) under Triticum aestivum (bread wheat). RNAcentral describes it as "partial small subunit ribosomal RNA". The record is from RNAcentral. Lineage: Eukaryota; Viridiplantae; Streptophyta; Magnoliopsida; Poales; Poaceae.